CAUAUACUCCCUCCGUCCCUAAAUACUUGUCUUUCUAGGCAUUUCAACAAAUGACUAUAUACGGAGCAAAAUGAGUGAAUCUACAUUCUAAAAUAUGUCUACAUACAUCCGUAUAUAGUAGUCAUUUGAAAUGUCUAGAAAGACAAAUAUUUAGGAACGGAGGGAGUAUAUG
This is a non-coding RNA of Triticum aestivum (bread wheat), 172 nucleotides long. NCBI's taxonomy places the organism in Eukaryota, Viridiplantae, Streptophyta, Magnoliopsida, Poales, Poaceae. The record is from Rfam.